CCUACGGGUGGCAGCAGUGGGGAAUAUUGGACAAUGGGCGAAAGCCUGAUCCAGCCAUGCCGCGUGUGUGAAGAAGGCCUUCGGGUUGUAAAGCACUUUCAGUGGGGAAGAAAGCCUUGGGGCUAAUACCCUCGAGGAAGGACAUCACCCACAGAAGAAGCACCGGCUAACUCCGUGCCAGCAGCCGCGGUAAUACGGAGGGUGCGAGCGUUAAUCGGAAUUACUGGGCGUAAAGCGCGCGUAGGCGGUCUGAUAAGCCGGUUGUGAAAGCCCCGGGCUCAACCUGGGAACGGCAUCCGGAACUGUCAGGCUAGAGUGCAGGAGAGGAAGGUUGAAUUCCCGGUGUAGCGGUGAAAUGCGUAGAGAUCGGGAGGAAUACCAGUGGCGAAGGCGGCCUUCUGGACUGACACUGACGCUGAGGUGCGAAAGCGUGGGUAGCAAACAGGAUUAGAUACCCGAGUAGUC
This 465-nucleotide ribosomal RNA is filed under the name Vreelandella stevensii. Its description in RNAcentral is "partial 16S ribosomal RNA". It matches the Rfam family "Bacterial small subunit ribosomal RNA", at positions 338 to 795 of the family's 1533-position model. The record is from RNAcentral. Lineage: Bacteria; Pseudomonadati; Pseudomonadota; Gammaproteobacteria; Oceanospirillales; Halomonadaceae.